Molecule: long non-coding RNA, 763 nt
Filed under: Homo sapiens (human)
Lineage: Eukaryota; Metazoa; Chordata; Mammalia; Primates; Hominidae
Description: non-protein coding lnc-DLK1-35:85
Source: RNAcentral
CCUGUCUACACUUGCUGUCUUCCUUCCUCACCUCCAAUUUCCUCUUCAACCCACUGCUUCCUGACUCGCUCUACUCCGUGGAAGCACGCUCACAAAGUUCCUGACCUGGCCAUCCCGGGGUGCCCUUGACCAGCCCCGUGUCUCCUCAGGGUGUCCCAGCACCAGCCUGGCACAGAGUGGGGCUCAGUUAGAGUAUGUGGGAUGUUGGUUUCGCCAGGCACGUGGGCCGUGGCCCGGCUGGGUCGGCUGAAGAACUGCGGAUGGAAGCUGCGGAAGAGGCCCUGAUGGGGCCCACCAUCCCGGACCCAAGUCUUCUUCCUGGCGGGCCUCUCGUCUCCUUCCUGGUUUGGGCGGAAGCCAUCACCUGGAUGCCUACGUGGGAAGGGACCUCGAAUGUGGGACCCCAGCCCCUCUCCAGCUCGAAAUCCCUCCACAGCCACGGGGACACCCUGCACCUAUUCCCACGGGACAGGCUGGACCCAGAGACUCUGGACCCGGGGCCUCCCCUUGAGUAGAGACCCGCCCUCUGACUGAUGGACGCCGCUGACCUGGGGUCAGACCCGUGGGCUGGACCCCUGCCCACCCCGCAGGAACCCUGAGGCCUAGGGGAGCUGUUGAGCCUUCAGUGUCUGCAUGUGGGAAGUGGGCUCCUUCACCUACCUCACAGGGCUGUUGUGAGGGGCGCUGUGAUGCGGUUCCAAAGCACAGGGCUUGGCGCACCCCACUGUGCUCUCAAUAAAUGUGUUUCCUGUCUUAACAAAAA